Molecule: ribosomal RNA, 289 nt
Filed under: uncultured Hyphomicrobiaceae bacterium
Lineage: Bacteria; Pseudomonadati; Pseudomonadota; Alphaproteobacteria; Hyphomicrobiales; Hyphomicrobiaceae
Description: partial 16S ribosomal RNA
Source: RNAcentral
CUACCGGGGUUUCUAAUCCUGUUUGCUCCCCACGCUUUCGCACCUCAGCGUCAGUACCGAGCCAGUGAGCCGCCUUCGCCACUGGUGUUCUUCCUAAUAUCUACGAAUUCCACCUCUACACUAGGAGUUCCACUCACCUCUCUCGGACUCUAGAUAUCCAGUAUCAAAGGCAGUUCCGGAGUUGAGCUCCGGGAUUUCACCCCUGACUUAAAUAUCCGCCUACGUGCGCUUUACGCCCAGUAAUUCCGAACAACGCUAGCCCCCUUCGUAUUACCGCGGCUGCUGGCAC